Molecule: long non-coding RNA, 1346 nt
Organism: Sphaeramia orbicularis (orbiculate cardinalfish)
Lineage: Eukaryota; Metazoa; Chordata; Actinopteri; Kurtiformes; Apogonidae
Exons: 3
Source: RefSeq, a predicted model, not a curated record
UUGAAUUCUUUCCUGUUGUUGAAGAUCAGAUGAGUCUGAAAAAAUGCAGAAAACAGUCCAACUGUCCUGAACAGUCUCUAGAAGAACAUCUGACUCAGUAGGAGCUUCAGUGGAGCUGAUAUCAUGUAAGAACCCGUUAGUGUUGGUGUUGUCCAGACUGUCCCCGUAGAUCUGUAGGAUUCAGCCUAGACCACACCAGGCCCUGGGCCCAAACCCAAACACUGAACACAUACUGAUGUGUCAGUUCAAAAGACAGAACAGGUUUGAGAGCGUCCGCAUCCAGUAGAAGUGGUUUGUGUGAGUGACACCUGUGUCUACGCUCAGGAAGGCCCUCAGGAGGACAAAUGUGUGGGUGUAUGAACGGUUGGUAGAUGUGUGGCAUGUGGGUGUGAGUGGGUGUGGGGCAGAGCCUAUAAGUAGUGGGCGGUCUGUGUGCGCUCAGAGGACUUGGUUCAGGUGCGGCGACUGAAACAUUUGUUAACUGGCCAGAGUUUUCUUUGUUCGGAGCAAGCCUGUGUUCCUGGGGGAUCCAGUUGGGCUUGAGCCGUGGGUUCGGGACGUCUGGCUCAGGGUAAGUCGCUCGUAGCUCCGUCUUGUAAUUUGGGCCCUGGGCCUAAGCUGACCCAAAUGACGCUUCACUUUAGAUCCUGAGCUGCAGCAUGGACAGCUGCUGAUCCCUUCCAUCUGCCCCCCCCCGGCUGCCCACAAGCAUGUGUCUCCCCCGGCAGGAACCAGAAUUCCAGGUUGUGGUCCACGACCAGGACCGCCGCUCCCAGAAAGGACCCGUUGUUUUGUCCAGCUUUGUCCCAUCUGGUUCAUCAGAUCUGCCUCCAGUGGAGUCCAGCGCCACCGCUGGGUACCAGCUCCAAAACUGAAGACGGGAGCCCUGUCCGGGGCCACCCUGGGCACCUGAGUGGUGUGUUUAGAUCGGAUUCCUCAUUGGGUGACACACCUACCGAUGAUCAGCUGAAUCAGCUUGUCAGCCGGCUACAAAAGCAGUGGAACGAACACCUCAGCAGACCCAGACGCAGCAAACCCCUCCAGACCCAGCAGAAGCCUUAGGCUAGGAAGCCCUCUUUCUUUUAGUUACUACUUCAGUUAAUUUCUUUGAGUUUGCCCUGGGGGUGGCCGGUGGUCCAACUUUUCAUUUUAGAUUUGGUUGAACAAGUUCUUUUUUGUUAGGGGGUGGGGGCAGCUUCUACAUCCCUAUAGUGGGGGGGGCCUGCCUUCCCCCUCCAUUUUAUUUAUUUUUGCUGGCACCUCCAGGUCCUUUUGAUUCGUUGAGUUCAUUUUUGAUAUGCAUUGCCUUUUGAGUUUGUUGUUUUCUUAAAUGACUUCAUUGAUGA